RNAcentral lists this ribosomal RNA (490 nucleotides) under uncultured bacterium. RNAcentral describes it as "partial 16S ribosomal RNA". It matches the Rfam family "Bacterial small subunit ribosomal RNA", at positions 30 to 507 of the family's 1533-position model. The record is from RNAcentral.
AUUGAACGCUGGCGGCAGGCCUAACACAUGCAAGUCGAACGGUAACAGGAAACAGCUUGCUGUUUCGCUGACGAGUGGCGGACGGGUGAGUAAUGUCUGGGAAACUGCCUGAUGGAGGGGGAUAACUACUGGAAACGGUAGCUAAUACCGCAUAACGUCGCAAGACCAAAGAGGGGGACCCUCGGGCCUCUUGCCAUCGGAUGUGCCCAGAUGGGGUUAGCUUGUUGGUGGGGUAACGGCUCACCAAGGCGACGAUCCCUAGCUGGUCUGAGAGGAUGACCAGCCACACUGGAACUGAGACACGGUCCAGACUCCUACGGGAGGCAGCAGUGGGGAAUAUUGCACAAUGGGCGCAAGCCUGAUGCAGCCAUGCCGCGUGUAUGAAGAAGGCCUUCGGGUUGUAAAGUACUUUCAGCGGGGAGGAAGGGAGUAAAGUUAAUACCUUUGCUCAUUGACGUUACCCGCAGAAGAAGCACCGGCUAACUCCGUG